This 265-nucleotide ribosomal RNA is filed under the name uncultured bacterium. Its description in RNAcentral is "partial 16S ribosomal RNA". It matches the Rfam family "Bacterial small subunit ribosomal RNA", at positions 57 to 305 of the family's 1533-position model. The record is from RNAcentral.
GCAAGUCGAACGGUAACGGACCGCUGUGAUCCCUUCGGGGUGAACUUGGUGCCGACGAGUGGCGGACGGGUGAGUAAUGCUUAGGAAUCUACCCAGUAGCGGGGGACAACACGGGGAAACUCGUGCUAAUACCGCAUACGCCCUACGGGGGAAAGUGGAGGAUCUUCGGACUUCACACUAUUGGAUGAGCCUAAGUCGGAUUAGCUUGUUGGUGAGGUAAAAGCUCACCAAGGCGACUAUCCGUAGCUGGUCUGAGAGGACGAUC